UACAGAGGUCUCAAGCGUUGUUCGGAUUCAUUGGGCGUAAAGGGUGUGUAGGUGGCGCGCUAAGUCGGGUGUGAAAUUUCGGAGCUUAACUCCGAAACUGCAUUCGAUACUGGCGUGCUUGAGGACUGGAGAGGAGACUGGAAUUCAUGGUGUAGCAGUGAAAUGCGUAGAGAUCAUGAGGAAGACCAGUGGCGAAGGCGGGUCUCUGGACAGUUCCUGGCACUGAGACACGAAGGCCAGGGGAGCAAACGGG
Molecule: ribosomal RNA, 253 nt
Filed under: uncultured bacterium
Lineage: Bacteria
Description: partial 16S ribosomal RNA
Rfam family: Bacterial small subunit ribosomal RNA
Source: RNAcentral